UGGGGAAUUUUGGACAAUGGGGGAAACCCUGAUCCAGCCAUCCCGCGUGUGCGAUGAAGGCCUUCGGGUUGUAAAGCACUUUUGGCAGGAAAGAAACGUCAUGGGUUAAUACCCCGUGAAACUGACGGUACCUGCAGAAUAAGCACCGGCUAACUACGUGCCAGCAGCCGCGGUAAUACGUAGGGUGCAAGCGUUAAUCGGAAUUACUGGGCGUAAAGCGUGCGCAGGCGGUUCGGAAAGAAAGAUGUGAAAUCCCAGAGCUCAACUUUGGAACUGCAUUUUUAACUACAGGGCUAGAGUGUGUCAGAGGGAGGUGGAAUUCCGCGUGUAGCAGUGAAAUGCGUAGAUAUGCGGAGGAACACCGAUGGCGAAGGCAGCCUCCUGGGAUAACACUGACGCUCAUGCACGAAAGCGUGGGGAGCAAACAGG
RNAcentral lists this ribosomal RNA (429 nucleotides) under Acidobacteriota bacterium. RNAcentral describes it as "Acidobacteria bacterium partial 16S ribosomal RNA". It matches the Rfam family "Bacterial small subunit ribosomal RNA", at positions 355 to 776 of the family's 1533-position model. The record is from RNAcentral. Lineage: Bacteria; Pseudomonadati; Acidobacteriota.